GUUAUGGCGGGCCGUGUGUGGGAGGCUACGGCCUGCCGGGUUCCUUCUUUCCCCGGUCUGUCAACCCGCGCACGGUCCGCCCCCAU
This 86-nucleotide non-coding RNA is filed under the name Modicisalibacter ilicicola DSM 19980. Lineage: Bacteria; Pseudomonadati; Pseudomonadota; Gammaproteobacteria; Oceanospirillales; Halomonadaceae. The record is from RNAcentral.